GAAUGGCAUAACGGUCUGAAAACUGUCUCUGGGAAAGGCUCGGUGAAAUUACAAUGCCGGUAAAGAUGCCGGUUACCCGCAGCAAGACGGAAAGACCCCGUGAAGCUUUACUAUAGUUUGAUAUUGAAUCAAAAUUUUGAUUGUAUAGAGUAGGUGGGAGCGCAAGCAAAAGUGUAACACCACCCUGUUAAGGUUUUGAUUCUAACCAUCGUUAAUUCGAAGGGACAGUGUCAGAUGGGUAGUUUAACUGGGGCGGUUGACUCCUAAAUUGUAACGGAGUCGCUCAAAGGUUGGCUUGGCCCGGAUGGAAAUCGGGCUGAAAGUGCAAACGCAUAAGCCAGCUUGACUGCAAGACUUACAAGUCGCGCAGAUGCGAAAGCAGGAGUUAGUGAUCCUCUGGCACAGAGUGAUGUGGCCAGAGCUCAACGGAUAAAAGCUACUCCGGGGAUAACAGGCUGAUCGCGCCCAAUAGUCCACAUAGACGGCGCGGUUUGGCACCUCGAUGGACAGUUCGGUCCUAAUCUGCUGUGGGCGUCGAAGUUUGAAGGAAUCUGCUCCUAGUAGGCGAGAGGACCGGAGCGGACGAACCUCUGGUGUACCAGUUGUUCUACCAAGAGCAUUGCUGGGUAGCUAUGUUCGGUCGGGAUAACCGCUGAAAGCAUAUAAGCGGGAAGCCCAUCCUAAGAUUAGACUUCAUUAAGGUUCCCAGUAGACCACUGGGUUGAUAGGCUCUAGGUGUAAGAUCCGUAAGGAUUUCAGCCGAGGAGUACUAAUAGACC
This 779-nucleotide ribosomal RNA is filed under the name Berkelbacteria bacterium GW2011_GWA1_39_10. RNAcentral describes it as "bacterial LSU rRNA". It matches the Rfam family "Bacterial large subunit ribosomal RNA", at positions 1994 to 2910 of the family's 2925-position model. Lineage: Bacteria; Candidatus Berkelbacteria. The record is from RNAcentral.